AUUGAAGCUAUGAAGGGUGUGUGGUGAAUGCCUAGGGACGAAUUGCCGAAGAAGGACGCGUAAGCAGCGAAAUGCUACGGGGAGAUGCACAGAAUUGAUGAUCCGUAGAUAUCCGAAUGGGGAAACCCGGCGGGGGUAAUGCCUCGUCACCCGGUCUUGAAUACAUAGGGGCCGAGGAGGGAACCUGGUGAACUGAAACAUCUAAGUAACCAGUGGAAGAGAAAUCGAAGAGACUCCGUAAGUAGCGGCGAGCGAAAGCGGAAUAGCCCAAACCAGUGAGUUUACUCACUGGGGUAGUGGGGCAUCCACUAAGUCUCCCAAACGGAGAGACGCUUGAAUCUGAUUUUUGGAUUCAGGAUCUUUGCGUUUGAGAGGCUUAGAAAAGAAUUGAAGAGAGUUAGAGAAACAGGAUUGGAAAGUCCGGCCGUAGAGGGUGAUAGCCCCGUACUCCAAAAACUCAAAUCGAAUUCAGGGUGUACCCAAGUAACGCGGAGCACGAGGAAUUCCGCGUGAAUCUGCCCGGACCACCGGGUAAGGCUAAGUACGAUUCGUCACCGAUAGUGCAUCCAGUACCGUGAGGGAAAGGUGAAAAGAACCCCGGGAGGGGAGUGAAAUAGAACCUGAAACCGCAACAUCCGCAAACAGUCGAAGCACAAUGGCGUAAGUCAAGUGCGACGGCGUGCCUUUUGCAGAAUGAGCCUGCGAGUUACUGUUAGUGGCAAGGUUAAGUGUUUUAGACACGGAGCCGGAGGGAAACCGAGUUCGAAUAGAGCGUCAAGUCACUAGUAGUAGACCCGAAACUGCGUGAUCUAGCCAUGGCCAGGUUGAAGUGUUGGUAACACAACAUGGAGGACCGAACUCAUUGAUGUUGAAAAAUCUCGGGAUGAGCUGUGGUUAGUCCGGUGAAAUGCCAAUCGAACGCAGAGAUAGCUGGUUCUCCCCGAAAUGCAUUGAGGUGCAGCGUUAUGUGUUUCUUACUGGGGGUAGAGCACUGAAUGGGCUAGGGGGCUUACCCGCUUACCGAACCCAACCAAACUCCGAAUACCAGUAAGUGAAGCAUAGCAGUGAGACUACGAGGGAUAAGCUCCGUGGUCAAAAGGGAAAAAGCCCAGAUCGUCAGCUAAGGCCCCUAAUCCUAGACUAAGUGUGAAACGAUGUGAGAUCGCGUAAACAGCCAGGAGGUUGGCUUGGAAGCAGCCAUCCUUUAAAAAGUGCGUAACAGCUUACUGGCCGAAUGUGAUCUUGCGCGGAAAAUGUAAGGGGGCUCAAGUCUAGAGCCGAAGCUACGGACCCAGUUUACUGGGUGGUAGGGGAGCGUCGGCUGCGCAGUGAAGCUACAGCGUAAGCAGUGGUGGAGUGCAGUCGAGUGAGAAUGCAGGCAUGAGUAGCGCUAAUACAAGUGAGAAUCUUGUACGCCGAAAACCUAAGGUUUCUCCGGCUAUGUUCGUCAGACGGAGGUUAGGCGGACCUAAGGCGAGGCCAGAAGGCGUAGCCGAUGGACAGCAGGUUGAAAUUCCUGCCCUGGUACCAGUGCGAUGGAUGACGUUUCUCAAAGCCCAACUAGGUUAUUGGAUUCUGAGUGGAUCUCUUCGGAGUGAAGCGUAUUGGGUAGAGAGGGGCCGAGAAAAACUCCUAAGCUUCAGCUGGUAUCAACCGUACUGCAAACCGACACAGGUAGGUGAGUCGAGGAGACUAAGGCGUUCGGAAGAACUCUCGUUAAGGAACUAGGCAAAACGACCCCGUAACUUCGGAAGAAGGGGUGCCUCGAAAGAGGCCGCAGCGAAGCAGCCCAGGCGACUGUUUACCAAAAACACAGGUCUCUGCAAACCCGAAAGGGGAAGUAUAGGGGCUGACGCCUGCCCAAUGCUCGUAGAUUAACGGGAGAUGUUAGGGGCAACCCGAAGCAUCGAACCGAAGUCCGAGUGAAUGGCGGCCGUAACUCUAACGGUCCUAAGGUAGCGAAAUUCCUUGUCGGCUAAAUACCGACCCGCAUGAAAGGCGUAACGACUUGGGCACUGUCUCAACGAGAAAUCCGGUGAAAUUGUAGCACCCGUGAAGAUGCGGGUUACCAGCAGUAGGACGGAAAGACCCCGUGGAGCUUUACUACACCUUCAGAUUGUGAAUUGGAUGUAGAUGUAGAGCGUAGGUGGGAUGCUUCGGCGCCAAUGGAACACCACCCUUCUUCAUCUGAUUUACUAACCUGCACCGUUAUCCGGUGUGGAGACAGUCUGUGGCGGGUAGUUUGACUGGGGCGGUCGCCUCCCAAAAUGUAACGGAGGCGUACAAAGUUGCACUCAGCCUGGUCGGAAAUCAGGCGUCGAGCGUAUAGGUAUAUAGUGCAAUUGACUGUGAGACCAACAAGUCGAGCAGGUGCGAAAGCAGGUCUAAGUGACCCUCUGAUUGUGCGUGGGCACGUCAGGGUUCAACGGAUAAAAGCUACCCCGGGGAUAACAGGCUGAUCUUGCCCGAGCGUCCAUAGCGACGGCAUGGUUUGGCACCUCGAUGUCGGCUCGUCUCAUCCUGGGGCUGUACCAGGUCCCAAGGGUUCCGGAGUUCACGGAUUAAAGAGGCACGCGAGCUGGGUUCAGAACGGCGUGAGCCAGUUCGGUCCCUAUCCACUGCUGGCGUAGGAAAUUUGAAGGGAGACGUUCUUAGUACGAGAGGACCGGAAUGUACUGACCUCUGGUGUACCAAUUGUCCUGCCAAGGGCAUACGUUGGGUAGCCACGUCGGGAAGCGAUAAGCGCUGAAAGCAUCUAAGCGCCAAGCGCACCCUAAGAUUAGAUUUCCCACUUCGAGGUAAGGUCCCAUGAAGACUACAUGGUGAUAGGUCGCAUGUGUAAGCACAGUAAUGUGUUGUGCUGAGCGAUACUAAUUGACCGAGGGCUUCAUAUA
This 2894-nucleotide ribosomal RNA is filed under the name Armatimonadota bacterium. RNAcentral describes it as "Armatimonadetes bacterium (activated sludge metagenome) 23S ribosomal RNA". It matches the Rfam family "Bacterial large subunit ribosomal RNA". The record is from RNAcentral. Lineage: Bacteria; Bacillati; Armatimonadota.